AGGGGGUGUUGGACCAGGUGGUCUUGGAGGUCUUUUCCAACCCUAACCAUUCGGUGAUUCAGUGAGGGGAUUAAUUAAUUAAUUAAUUAACCUGUAAAAAUGUAGAGACUGCUACCAGCCCCUGCAACUUUCUUUUGUAUCUGUGUGUGUCAAACUAAGGUUUCUGUCGGCAGCAACAAUUUACAAGAAGCAAUUCUAAGGAACAAACUACACCACGCUCAAAGUACAGCUUUGAGUGGCAAACAUUUCUGCCAGAAUAAUCCCGAAUUUCCUGGGGGCACGGAUUUGUGUUCUGCAGUAAGUUCUUGUUGAUACUCAAGUGCCCAACAGACGUUUUACUGCCCCAUUACAGGAAUUGUCCUUCUCCUGGCACUUUUUUUCUGAUACUUAGUGCAGUAAUACAAUAGCCUUUACCAUUAUGUGCUAAAGACAGACAGAGAAUACUCCAGCAGUGUGUUUUAGCCUCCUAUGUGAGCAUGCUGAGUUCCAGGAGCUGUACAUCCCUAGGGAUAAACUUGAGAGCAGUCCAACCUGAGACCCCUCGAAGCGCCAACGAUGCUGCUUUCCUGAGGCGCCUGCCGUGCAACUGAAACGAGCUCAGCAGGGCUGUAACAUACCAGUCAGGACACAGCAGUCUUCAGUCCUCUACUCAGAGGUGAAUUUUUGUACAGAUUAUAAAAUGUUAAAGAAUUUUGAACAUUA
Oxyura jamaicensis (ruddy duck) is the source of this 702-nucleotide long non-coding RNA. RefSeq lists it as uncharacterized. The transcript has 2 exons. Lineage: Eukaryota; Metazoa; Chordata; Aves; Anseriformes; Anatidae. The record is from RefSeq and is a predicted model, not a curated record.